UGGGGAAUAUUGGACAAUGGGCGCAAGCCUGAUCCAGCUAUGCCGCGUGGAUGAAGAAGGCCUUCGGGUUGUAAAGUCCUUUCGUUGGUGACGAUAAUGACGGUAACCAAAGAAGAAGCCCCGGCUAAUUUCGUGCCAGCAGCCGCGGUAAUACGAAAGGGGCUAGCGUUGUUCGGAAUUACUGGGCGUAAAGCGCACGUAGGCGGCCUUGUAAGAUGGGGGUGAAAUCCCCGGGCUCAACCCGGGAACUGCCUUCAUGACUGCAAAGCUUGAGGAUGUGAGAGGUUGGCGGAAUUCCGAGUGUAGAGGUGAAAUUCGUAGAUAUUCGGAAGAACACCAGUGGCGAAGGCGGCCAACUGGCACAUUUCUGACGCUGAGGUGCGAAAGCGUGGGGAGCAAA
RNAcentral lists this ribosomal RNA (400 nucleotides) under uncultured bacterium. RNAcentral describes it as "bacterial SSU rRNA". It matches the Rfam family "Bacterial small subunit ribosomal RNA", at positions 355 to 772 of the family's 1533-position model. The record is from RNAcentral.